Molecule: unclassified non-coding RNA, 307 nt
Filed under: Hevea brasiliensis (rubber tree)
Lineage: Eukaryota; Viridiplantae; Streptophyta; Magnoliopsida; Malpighiales; Euphorbiaceae
Source: RNAcentral
CGGAUGUUAGAUGGCCUUCUUAUGCAUACAAUAUAAGAGGAGUAGGGAAUAGCCCUCAUCUGUGGGUAACAAAUAUGUCCGACACUAGCUUGACAGCAAUUAGCUAUGGUUCUAAUCACAUAUCUUGCUGAUAGCUAGCUCUCGAGGCUUGAAUUACUUAUUGAUAAGGAUGCAGGUGAUUGGUUCGAUCUUCUUCAAAGUUUCAUUGUCUCUGCAGAACCUAUGCUGUUAUCUUUCGAGUCUUUAUGAUUAAAGAGAUAGAUUAUACAAAUUCUAAAGCGGCUUUCUGGGGAUUGUGAAGAAUAGG